UCCUCGGUAGCAUAGUGGUCAGUAUUCUCGCCUGUCACGCGUGAGUCCGGGUUUCGAUUCCCCGCCGGGAAG
RNAcentral lists this transfer RNA (72 nucleotides) under Trichonephila clavata. It matches the Rfam family "tRNA". From Rfam's summary of the family: Transfer RNA (tRNA) molecules are approximately 80 nucleotides in length. Their secondary structure includes four short double-helical elements and three loops (D, anti-codon, and T loops). Further hydrogen bonds mediate the characteristic L-shaped molecular structure. tRNAs have two regions of fundamental functional importance: the anti-codon, which is responsible for specific mRNA codon recognition, and the 3' end, to which the tRNAs corresponding amino acid is attached (by aminoacyl-tRNA synthetases). tRNAs cope with the degeneracy of the genetic code in two manners: having more than one tRNA (with a specific anti-codon) for a particular amino acid; and 'wobble' base-pairing, i.e. permitting non-standard base-pairing at the 3rd anti-codon position. Lineage: Eukaryota; Metazoa; Arthropoda; Arachnida; Araneae; Nephilidae. The record is from Rfam by way of RNAcentral.